ACGCAUCGCGUCACCCCCCACCCAAUCCCUAUGUGGUUUUGUGUCUGUGGGGGUGGAAAUUGGCCUCCCGUGAACCACAAGUCUGCGGCCGGCCCAAAAAAGAUCCCAGACCAGUGGGAGUCACGACUAGUGGUGGUUGAAAACUCAACUUGCGUGCUGUCGCGACGAUUCCGUUGUGUUUGGGUAUCAAUGCGACCCAAUGGCUCUUCCUAGGAAGCGUCUCCGACC
This 228-nucleotide unclassified non-coding RNA is filed under the name Cabomba sp. Lineage: Eukaryota; Viridiplantae; Streptophyta; Magnoliopsida; Nymphaeales; Cabombaceae. The record is from RNAcentral.